GUCAACAUUCCUACCCAAGGAAUGAGCUCUCCCACGGCAUCCCAUUUCGGCGCCCAAUCCCGAACGAGCGAGCUUAUGUCGCAAUAGCUAUCUCCGGAGUGCCGGCUUGUGAGGAGCGACCCUCACAAGCAUAUGCGAAUAAGCACACAAUGGCAAGCAAGCAUAAAUAUCCGUCUCAAGUCCAAUGUCAUUAUGUCUAAAAUAUGGUAUAAAUACUAGCGACCACGAAGGUCUAGUUCUAAAAUUUAGAAUUUAAAAUUGAAAAUUUAAAAUCUAAAUUUAAAAUUUAAAAUUUGAAAUUUAAAUGUAAAAAUAUAAAUAAUUAUGAAAUAUAAAAUAUAAAAUAUAAAUAUUUAAAAAUAUAUUUAAAUUUUAAAUUUUAAAAUUUAAAAUUUAAAAUUAAAAUUUAAAUUUUAAAAUUUAAAUUUAAAUUUAAAAAUUAAAAAUUAAAAAUUAAAAAUAAUUAUGAAAUUUAAAAUUUAAAAUUUGAAUAUUUAAAAUUUAAAAUUUGAAUAUUUAAUAUUUUAAAUUUUAAAUUUUAAAUUUGAAUAUAAUAUUUUAAAUUUUUUUAAAUUUUAAAUUUUAAAUAUUCAAAUUUUAAAUUUUUGAAAUUUAUAAUUUGAAGAUUAAAAAUUAUAAUUUAACAUUUAAAAAUUUUAAAUUUUUAUAUUUAAAUUUUAAAAUCUAAAAUGUCAAAU
RNAcentral lists this long non-coding RNA (698 nucleotides) under Ananas comosus (pineapple). Its description in RNAcentral is "long non-coding RNA (ACOM_LNC035292)". The record is from RNAcentral. Lineage: Eukaryota; Viridiplantae; Streptophyta; Magnoliopsida; Poales; Bromeliaceae.